This is a long non-coding RNA of Orbicella faveolata, 795 nucleotides long. The record is from RefSeq and is a predicted model, not a curated record. NCBI's taxonomy places the organism in Eukaryota, Metazoa, Cnidaria, Anthozoa, Scleractinia, Merulinidae.
UAUUACGAGCUUACAACGUGACCAGCUCCCAGUUGGCUUGAUAGCUCAGUUGAUAGAGCACUGCACUGUUAUCGAAUUAUUUUCACGCUUAAUUUUCACAACUGCUUAAGCUGUGUGAAUAACUGCGAUGGUCAAUCAUGACUUUAUAUCUUUCUCCGCAGUUCAAGUAUAUGAUCUUUCAUAUAUUCACUUGCAAAUGAGACUUAGGGGUAGGGUACAUAGAGAAGCUUAAAAUUGUGGAAGCUAAUUUCCAGAGCAAAAGGUUAAACCAAAACGUACCUCUGUGUUUACCCCUUUAGGACUUGAGGCAAGAUCCUUGCCUAAGAAACCUUUCCGUUACGUUUUGAGAAGCGCUUUCCCUUGUCUGUUUCUCUAGAUUUCUUCCAAAGGUUUUCCUGCAUGGAUCUUCCUUUAUUCACUGGCCUUAUGGUCUGUAGUAUUAGUCUUCUCACGACGCGAUCCAGCCGAGGUCAUUCUGGUUUCAGCACUUGACGGUAUGGAGUGGCCAUUGUUACGAGCGAUAUUCGCUCAUCACAUUCUUCCGAUGAGGAAGAUUCCGACUUUAAAAGUCAACAAUCGGUUCGUGUUAAAAGGACAUUACUAAAGGAGAUCAUCAAACAACAUGGGACAAAGCAAGAACACUUACCAAAAGAAAGUAAAAAUCCAGUGGAGCGCAGCUUUCACGGAGUGACGAAUGCUACCAGCGCAGACGCAGCGCCCAAUAAGCGAUUUACAGUGAGAACUCGCUAUGGAAACCUGCGUAUUACUGGUAAGUGAUAUUCAUGGGACUAGGAG